Long non-coding RNA from Panicum virgatum (switchgrass), 421 nucleotides. RefSeq lists it as uncharacterized. NCBI's taxonomy places the organism in Eukaryota, Viridiplantae, Streptophyta, Magnoliopsida, Poales, Poaceae. The record is from RefSeq and is a predicted model, not a curated record. The transcript is spliced from 2 exons.
AAGGUAUGCCUGUUUGUCUCACGUUCUCCCUGCCCCUUAUCUCUGUCCCCAGAUCCGUCUCCUACCGGCCAUCUCCCUCCAAUUUCCCACAUCAACAGUUGUGCUGCCCUCUACUCCACAUCUAUCUCUGUCCCCAGAGGAAAACAAUGCUGGUGUAAACCAGAUUGAGCCACAAAAUCAAAUCACAAUAGAGAAAGAAAAUAUUCCACCUAUUUGCUCAAUCACAACAGGUACAUAUGCCUUUAUUAUGGUACCUUACAAUAGUUGUAUAUAUGAGAAACAGUGGAUGUGGUGAACAAAUUAGAUGAAGCAUCUGUGAUUUGUUCGAUCCGGAUGAAUUUGCGUUCACAGCAACAAUGGAGAUGCAAAAUAGAAAGACACGCAUUAAUUGUAGUAGAACAUUAUUUGUCGUUGGUGAUAA